Molecule: ribosomal RNA, 262 nt
Filed under: uncultured archaeon
Lineage: Archaea
Description: partial 16S ribosomal RNA
Rfam family: Archaeal small subunit ribosomal RNA
Source: RNAcentral
CAGCCGUAAACUAUGCGCGUUAGGUGUACUGGUGACCACGAGUCACCGGGGUGCCGAAGGGAAACCGUGAAACGUGCCGCCUGGGAAGUACGGUCGCAAGGCUGAAACUUAAAGGAAUUGGCGGGGGGAGCACCACAACGGGUGGAGCCUGCGGUUUAAUUGGAUUCAACGCCGGACAUCUCACCGGAUAAGACAGCUGAAUGAUUGUCAAUCUGAAGGUUUUACAUGACUAGCUGAGAGGUGGUGCAUGGCGUCAGUGACU